Long non-coding RNA from Zingiber officinale, 739 nucleotides. RefSeq lists it as uncharacterized. The transcript is spliced from 4 exons. NCBI's taxonomy places the organism in Eukaryota, Viridiplantae, Streptophyta, Magnoliopsida, Zingiberales, Zingiberaceae. The record is from RefSeq and is a predicted model, not a curated record.
CACCUUCCUCCCCCGAUCUCCCCGACUCCUCUCGCUGCCUCUCGCCCGCGGAUGAAUCGGCGCCAACGGGAAUGGAGCUUCGACCUCCGGCGAUCCUUCUCUGCCGGCAUCGACAACACAAGCUCAGAUCCGGUCGGUGUUUCUCCUCUCCAGACUGUAAUCGGCCGAGGAGUUGCUGUUCGGUGGAUCUUGCGGCCGAUCACCGAAGGGGCUGCGGCUAGGGCACGGUGAAGGACCAGAUCUCGCGUCGACCCCCAUCCAAUCGUCCACCGAAGCUUGGAGAGGUGCCCUAGUUCGGAUUUGUGCCACUCGAUUCGCCGGCGUGGGUCAGGUCAUGGAUCGUUUGAGUGGAUCUUGGAUUCCUCUGCCGGAGCUAGGUCUUGGCAGACGCUGGCUAGUUGAGGGUCAGUAGAUUCAAUACAUUGCAUUAUGGAUUGGAUUAGGUGACAUUUCCUGGAGGCAACCGAUCGAGUACUUGGACUUUCUCUUCUUCACUGUGAUUGAGGUCUCGGUUGAAGUGGAGAAGAAUCCCAGCAGUCAAUAGGUUCUGAUCAGUGAGGUGUGCUCAAGAUUUCAGCAAGGUUGAGUGCUGUGAACUUUCUUGGGUUCCAACAGCAACUACCCUAACUGACAGCAACAUCUUGGGUGGUGAUCUACUGGUGAUCACCUUGGAUUUGGGUUGAGGCCGUCAGGAGAGAUUCCAGUCGCUAGCCCCUUGGUCGCGAGGAUUUCUAGAUAU